UAGGGAAUAUUGGGCAAUGGGCGAAAGCCUGACCCAGCCAUGCCGCGUGAGCGAUGACGGUCCUAGAGAUUGUAAAGCUCUUUUCUGAGGAAAGAACAUCCGGGGUAGGAAAUGACCCCGGCUUGACGGUACCUCAGGAAUAAGGAACGGCUAACUCCGUGCCAGCAGCCGCGGUAAUACGGAGGUUCCAAGCGUUGUUCGGAAUUACUGGGCGUAAAGGGAGCGCAGGCGGGCAAGUCAGUCUGAAGUGAAAUCCCGGGGCUCAACCUCGGACUUGCUUCGGAUACUGCUUGUCUUGAGUUCGUGAUAGGAAGACGGAAUUCAGGGUGUAGCGGUGAAAUGCACAGAUAUCCUGAGGAACACCGGUGGCGAAAGCGGUCUUCUGGCGCGAAACUGACGCUGAGGCUCGAAAGCGUGGGUAGCAAACGG
This 429-nucleotide ribosomal RNA is filed under the name uncultured bacterium. RNAcentral's name for it is "bacterial SSU rRNA". It matches the Rfam family "Bacterial small subunit ribosomal RNA", at positions 355 to 775 of the family's 1533-position model. The record is from RNAcentral.